This is a long non-coding RNA of Microplitis mediator, 612 nucleotides long. RefSeq lists it as uncharacterized. The transcript is spliced from 2 exons. Lineage: Eukaryota; Metazoa; Arthropoda; Insecta; Hymenoptera; Braconidae. The record is from RefSeq and is a predicted model, not a curated record.
GUAUCAAUAUUGUUUGUUAUUGUAAUUAAUAAGUGUUUUUGUCUACAAGAUCGAGUGACUCUUACGUAUAGAUAUGCGAUAAAAUUAUAUUAUCGAGCUAUCGGGUUCAAACGUGCAUGGUUAAGACUAAGAUAUAAAUACUCCUACCCGAAGAAUUGAUCAUCAGUAAACACAAAACCAACGUAAUUGUUACAUUCAGCGCAAUAAAAUAAUUAAAAUGUCAAAGUUUACUAUUUUGAUUUUAUUGGUCGCAUUGUUGGCUAUCGGAGCCGAAGUUAACGCUUGUAUAAAGCAUGGAGGAGAUUGUUCCGCAGGCGGUAAUUGCUGUGAUCCUUAUCAUUGCAGAAAAAAUUACUUCGAUAGACUUGAAUGUGGAAUGACAAUGGGCCCACAUAGUGACGAUGACUAAUCAGCCUCGGAUUUAUUUUUUCCGAUAAUAAUUACGAUUGCAAAGAUAACGAUUAUAUUCGAAACCAAAUAAUUUGUCAUGUAAAACUUUUUUUUUUCAUCUAUUUGAUGUAUGAGUGAAUUUUUUUGUAAACUACUAUGUCAAAUUUAAUGUUCGAAAUUUAUCAAAAUAAAUGACAUAUAUUUAUGUAAAUUAUACGAUUA